Long non-coding RNA from Spinacia oleracea (spinach), 1150 nucleotides. RefSeq lists it as uncharacterized. NCBI's taxonomy places the organism in Eukaryota, Viridiplantae, Streptophyta, Magnoliopsida, Caryophyllales, Amaranthaceae. The record is from RefSeq and is a predicted model, not a curated record. The transcript is spliced from 9 exons.
AAAAAUAAAUCUUUACUACUGAAACCAGAUUUUUUCCCCCUUCUCUUCUCGCUGCUCGGCUGCUCCCCUUUUCUUCUGCAGAAGCCGUUUAUGGCGACGACUUGAUCAUCCUCAAGAGAUUUCCUCCAGACCUUCAUCUCCACAUCAAACCUCGUACCGCCGGUGUUUUAUUUGCUAUAUCUUCUUUUGGACGGCUUUUGCUGAUGGGGCUGGCGGUGGUGGUGGUUUGUCCAAGGAUUUUGGACGAUUUUUGCUGCUGGGGCUGGCGGUGGUGGUGGUUUUCGUUGCGGCUUUCUGGCCAGCAUCACGACCAGAUUCUUAGUGACAAAGAGACCAUCAAACUUCAGUCCAAGCAGUACCACUAACGAGUAGGAUCUAAAAUACAUUUUAAGGGACGAUUACGAGAUGUGCCAGGACGUAAAAUUCAAGGCUAGAGCUGAUUGCCUCAAGUUUGACGAACUUCAUACUGUAACUGUUACAACCACAUGACAUAGAGGAUGUCAGGUUUGUAUAUUUUUUCAGUGGACUCUAUCCCAAGUUUAUUUCAAAAAACUGGGACGUAUUCCUUUUCAGUCUCUCUUCAGGAUUCAAGACACGAACACUAGGUAAUUACCAGAUUGUUUUUUUGCGGCUUGGAAAUAUGGCUGCAUGUGGUGACCCUAUAUCCCGCCUUUGGAUUGGAAGUUGAUGAAGGAAGCAUUCAAGCUUCUUAGACCAGUGCUUGCUUCGAUAUGUGAUGCCAAAUUAUAAGGCUUUCUACAUCUUUCUCUCAUUGUUAGAGUGUUGAUGAAAAAUGUCAAAAAAAACGCACUUCCUCAAUGGAAAUCAAUUAAGUGCGCCCAACAAGAGGGUAGGGUCGAGUGUGGCUAUUACGUGAUGAAAUUCAUGCAUGACAUAUUCAAAAGUUGCAAGGAAGUUCAAGAUCUGGAAAAGGUUUUCAAAACUUCAAGUGAGGAGCCCUUUACCAAAAAGGAGUUGGGUGAGGUUCGAGACAAGUGGGCUAUUUACUUCAACGAUUGUGAACUACCCUCAGUGUAAUAAAUAGAGCAGAUUUGUAGUUAUUCGUGACUCUUACAUUAUUUUGUUAUUUAUCGAUUUAAUUAAUUACAUUUGAAUUAAUUCGGUAAUAUUAUUGGAAAUUUGAAAAUUA